GACGAACGCUGGCGGCGUGCUUAACACAUGCAAGUCGAACGGAAAGGCCCUGCUUUUGUGGGGUGCUCGAGUGGCGAACGGGUGAGUAACACGUGAGUAACCUGCCCUUGACUUUGGGAUAACUUCAGGAAACUGGGGCUAAUACCGGAUAGGAGCUCCUGCUGCAUGGUGGGGGUUGGAAAGUUUCGGCGGUUGGGGAUGGACUCGCGGCUUAUCAGCUUGUUGGUGGGGUAGUGGCUUACCAAGGCUUUGACGGGUAGCCGGCCUGAGAGGGUGACCGGCCACAUUGGGACUGAGAUACGGCCCAGACUCCUACGGGAGGCAGCAGUGGGGAAUAUUGCACGAUGGGCGGAAGCCUGAUGCAGCAACGCCGCGUGCGGGAUGACGGCCUUCGGGUUGUAAGCCGCUUUCGCCUGUGACGAAGCGUGAGUGACGGUAAUGGGUAAAGAAGCACCGGCUAACUACGUG
RNAcentral lists this ribosomal RNA (468 nucleotides) under uncultured bacterium. Its description in RNAcentral is "partial 16S ribosomal RNA". It matches the Rfam family "Bacterial small subunit ribosomal RNA", at positions 28 to 507 of the family's 1533-position model. The record is from RNAcentral.